ACGGGUGAGUAAUGUCUGGGAAACUGCCUGAUGGAGGGGGAUAACUACUGGAAACGGUAGCUAAUACCGCAUAACGUCGCAAGACCAAAGAGGGGGACCUUCGGGCCUCUUGCCAUCAGAUGUGCCCAGAUGGGAUUAGCUAGUAGGUGGGGUAACGGCUCACCUAGGUGACAAUCCCUAGCUGGUCCGAGAGGAUGACCAGCCACACUGGAACUGAGACACGGUCCAGACUCCUACGGGAGGCAGCAUG
This 250-nucleotide ribosomal RNA is filed under the name uncultured bacterium. RNAcentral describes it as "partial 16S ribosomal RNA". It matches the Rfam family "Bacterial small subunit ribosomal RNA", at positions 102 to 353 of the family's 1533-position model. The record is from RNAcentral.